Molecule: ribosomal RNA, 453 nt
Filed under: uncultured bacterium
Lineage: Bacteria
Description: bacterial SSU rRNA
Rfam family: Bacterial small subunit ribosomal RNA
Source: RNAcentral
CUACGGGAGGCAGCAGUGAGGAAUUUUGCGCAAUGGGCGAAAGCCUGACGCAGCAACGCCGCGUGAGUGAUGAAGGCUUUCGGGUCGUAAAGCUCUGUCAAGUGGGAAGAACCUAUAUAAUGUUAAUACCAUUAUAUACUGACGGUACCACUGAUGGAAGCACCGGGUAACUCCGUGCCAGCAGCCGCGGUAAUACGGGGGGUGCAAGCGUUAUUCGGAAUCAUUGGGCGUAAAGAGCACGUAUGCGGCCUGGUAAGUCAGAUGUGACAGCCCGGUGCUUAACCCCGGGAGUGCAUUUGAUACUGCCAGGCUUGAGUAUGGGAGUGGGAAGUGGAAUUCCUGGUGUAGAGGUGAAAUUCGUAGAUAUCAGGAGGCACACCGGUGGCGAAGGCAACUUCCUGGACCAAUACUGACGCUGAGGUGCGAAGGCGUGGGUAGCAAACAGGAUUAGAU